RNAcentral lists this ribosomal RNA (231 nucleotides) under Escherichia coli. RNAcentral's name for it is "partial 23S ribosomal RNA". It matches the Rfam family "Bacterial large subunit ribosomal RNA", at positions 291 to 527 of the family's 2925-position model. The record is from RNAcentral. Lineage: Bacteria; Pseudomonadati; Pseudomonadota; Gammaproteobacteria; Enterobacterales; Enterobacteriaceae.
CGGGGAGCAGCCCAGAGCCUGAAUCAGUGUGUGUGUUAGUGGAAGCGUCUGGAAAGGCGCGCGAUACAGGGUGACAGCCCCGUACACAAAAAUGCACAUGCUGUGAGCUCGAUGAAUAGGGCGGGACACGUGGUAUCCUGUCUGAAUAUGGGGGGACCAUCCUCCAAGGCUAAAUACUCCUGACUGACCGAUAGUGAACCAGUACCGUGAGGGAAAGGCGAAAAGAACCCC